RNAcentral lists this ribosomal RNA (353 nucleotides) under Epilampra egregia. Its description in RNAcentral is "partial 12S ribosomal RNA". The record is from RNAcentral. Lineage: Eukaryota; Metazoa; Arthropoda; Insecta; Blattodea; Blaberidae.
UUUUGAUUUAAAAAUUAUACUUGAGUAGUAAUAGAUAAGGACUUGAAACUUAAAGAAUUUGGCGGUAUUUUAUACUGUUUAGAGGAAUCUGUCCCGUAAUUGAUAGUCCACAUUGAACCUAACUUAAUUAAAAUUUUAAGUUUGUAUACCGCCGUAUAUUGAAAAUUCUUUUAGGUUAAUUUUCUUAAUAUUUUAUUAUAUAAUAUUUCAGGUCAAGGUGCAGUUUAUAAUUAAGGGGAGAUGGAUUACAAUAUUUUAAGAUAGAUGGAUUAUAAAUUGAAAUUUUUAUAUGAAAGUGGAUUUAAUAGUAAAGAUUUAUAUAUUAUUAUUUUGAUUUGAGUUCUAAGAUGUGU